RNA transcript from Balaenoptera acutorostrata (minke whale), 4104 nucleotides. It is a transcript of the gene named adaptor related protein complex 1 subunit sigma 3, with no coding region annotated. The transcript is spliced from 7 exons. The record is from RefSeq and is a predicted model, not a curated record. Lineage: Eukaryota; Metazoa; Chordata; Mammalia; Artiodactyla; Balaenopteridae.
CAUUGUGGGAAGCAGCCAUGGUCUGAGGCGGGCACCUCACCUGUCAGCCGCGCCGGCUCCUGCGCUCGCCUCUCGCCCUCGAGUCCACCGCGGUCGUCUCUCGCCCGCGGGGACGGCGGCGGCGGCCCGGCCACCAUGUCUUUGCAAGUGUGAAAAUUCAAAGGUCGUUUCCCCUCUUUCACUCGAUUGAUAAUUUGGUUGGAUGUAGGCCUGUAGUCUUCCAACAAAUGCAGAUUCAUUUCAUAUUGCUCUUCAGUCGACAAGGGAAAUUACGGCUGCAGAAAUGGUACACUACUCUCCCUGACAAGGAAAGGAAAAAGAUCACCCGGGAAAUUGUUCAGAUUAUUCUCUCUCGUGGUCAGAGGACAAGCAGUUUUGUUGAUUGGAAGGAGCUAAAACUUGUUUAUAAAAGGUAUGCUAGUUUAUAUUUUUGCUGUGCAGUAGAAAAUCAGGACAAUGAGCUCUUGACACUAGAGAUUGUGCAUCGUUAUGUGGAGAUGCUGGACAAAUACUUUGGAAAUGUCUGCGAGCUAGAUAUUAUCUUUAAUUUUGAAAAGGCUUAUUUUAUCCUGGACGAGUUUAUAAUAGGUGGAGAAAUUCAGGAAACAUCCAAGAAAUCUGCUGUUAAAGCCAUUGAGGAUUCUGAUAUGUUACAGGAGACAAUGGAAGAAUACAUGAACAAGCCUACGUUUUAACCAUGCAUCUACUUGAAGACUCCAAGUGCUACAUGUUGUGAACCUGUAAAUAAGCAGUGCCUUGCAUCCAGUUAUUUGACAGAGCCUCUGGCACCAUGCCAAAAAUAACUUAAAAGGGAUUUUUUUUUAAUUAGCAAAAAUUAAAGUUGUUUAACAUAAUGUAUUUAUCAUUAUUCGUGUCUGUAUUAUACUGUAUAUGACUACUUGGAUGUUAAAACAACUGCUUCAUUGCUCAAUAGGCUGAAUGUUUGUUUGCAGUGUUUUAACUCCAUGUCAUAUUUUUGAGCUAAUUUAAAUACAUUUAUUUUGUUGCAUUUGGUCCUCUACUGACAGGGUGUAAACUAUAUUGUCAUUAGCCAUGAUUUUGAAUGUAAAGUAUAUCUUGUAUCGAUAAUACUUUUUCUAAAUGUUUAGCUUUUUAAAUUGUAUAAUGAUUCAAAAUUAUGUUAAUAGUUCAGAGUUCAUACAUGACGUUAGACAUUUUUAAUACACUUAAUACUGUAAUUUCAGUCCAGAUACAGUGUAUCUGAUUUUAAUGUCCUGAAUUCAUUAAUUUUUCAGAGCUGGAAUUAAGGGCAACAACCAAAGAUAGUAUAGGCCUUAAGUGUUUUUGAUGCCUUGGAAGCUGCUAUCUAGGCUGAGGUUUUAAUUUUACCUUUUAAUUGAAUAUAAGGGGCAUUCCAAUAAGGUUGUGUUUUGUAUAAACUCUAUGUAUUUAUUAAGGUUUUGAGACAUCUGAAAAAGUGUCUAUAACUUCCCUUACUUAAAAAUAGUAUAAUAAAGAUUAAUAACAGUAGCAAUAAUACUUAUUAAUACUAUUAUUUUAAUAAUCUUUUAUGUUACAAGCACCCUUAGUUGCUUGAGAGAUUUUUGUUUCCAGUAUGUUUUCAUGUAUAUCUAAUAUAUUUGAAGACACUGUUUAUUAGGCUUACUUGGAGCAUUUAAUAUUAUUGCAGCCUGUAUAGUAGGUACCUUUCCUCCUUUUUCUUUCCUCAUCUCCCAAAGAAAAUAUUUGCUGCUGACUGUUAUUAUUAUGACUAUGUCGCAUUCAUGCUUCCUGGAAAGUUCUAUAUAACCAGGUGGUAGAAGUGAUCAGACAUUCUAGGGAAAUAGCUUGUACUGUUCCGUCUGGUGCCCCACUUCUGAUGUCUUCCCUGUGCAUUUUCAAUGUUAGUUUUGAGGUCAAAUGUCAUCAUGUUGCAGUGGUUAGGGACCUUCUAGUAUUCUUCCUAAGAGAAGAGUGUGCUUGCUGUUGGAGAAUCCAACAUGAGGGGAAAAUGUCCUCUUUGAUUCAUCAUGCCGGACGUAUUUAGGGAAAGAUGGCAAGACAAGAGUAGAAGAACAUGAGGAAAAAUUGACCAACUCUAAAAUAUAACCAUUAUUAAAAGGAAAUACUUCAGGUUAGUAUAUGAAGUAAUUAUGGGGCUUUUAAUAUCUAAUAUUUCCUCAAAUUAAUCAUGUAUUUACAAUUAGGGCAUCAGAUUGAAGUUUGUCAUUUUUAUCACUUUGUUUACUUUAGAUCUUUGAUUUUGUGCUUUAGCUUUUUUUUUUUUAAUAUGGCAGAACUCUUUAUUUUAAAAAACAUUGUGUAAAGAUAAACUUUAUGUAAAUUGAUGUAAGUUUUUCUGGUCCUUUUGAAGCUCUCCACCAUUUUUGGAUGAAGGUAUUGAUUGAAUCUCAUUCAAAUGUACUCCACAUAUUCUGGGGAAUUCCAUAUUAGACACUGUCUAGUUAUAGCGGGGCCUCCUCAGACUUCGUGUCAACAGCACACGUAGAGCGUGAACAUAAUGAUAUGGCACUCGGGCAAUUACCUAUCAAGGUGGAACUUCAUAAGCAGGUGACAGCAAAUGAGAGAAGAGAAGUUACUGUUUUGCUCCUAUUGGAUUUUUUCUCACCAUUCACCCACAUUUUGAUAAUCUGAUCUCUUUACAUGUAGUUAAUGACUCAAUCACCCUUUAAAUCUACUACUUUUCUUUCAUUAACAAAUGUAAAGUUGACAUUUCUUAUGAUAAAUCAAGUGAAUUUUUUUUAAAAAUUAUUUAUUUUUGGCUGCAUUGGUUCUUCGUUGCCGCAUUCAGGCUUUCUCUAGUUGUGGAGAGCGGGGGCUACUCUUUGUUGUGGUGCGUGUGCUUCUCAUUGCGGUGGCUUCUCUUGUUGCGGAGCACGGGCUCUAGGCGUGCGGGCUUAAGUAGCUGUGGCAUGCAGGCUCAGUAGUUGUGGUUUGAGGGCUCUAGAGCGCAGGCUCAUUAAUUGUGGCAGAGGGGCUUAGUUGCUCUGCGGCAUGUGGGAUCUUCCCGGACCAGGGCUCGAACCUGUGUCCCCUGCAUUGGCAGGCGGAUUCUUAACCACUGCAUGACCAGGGAAGCCCAAGUGAAUUGUUAAUUCAAACUUUUUCCCAUGUCAAGUCUUCUAAAACAGUAUAAAGCUUUUUCAUCAAACAUACAACAAAUGUUGUUCUUCUACAGCUAGUAAUUCUUCUUUAGGAUUUGUAUUAUAAUACCCAUGAAAUAUCACUCAGAACUGUCUUUAACUUUACUUUUCUAAGUUUUAAUCAAUAAACUUUAUUGGUAAGUGUUAAUAUAUUUUUUUCACAUGGUCCCUGCAAUUUUAAAUUAAGUUCAGUAGAUGCUCUAGAAUGUAAGCAAGCCAAUGACUCUUUCAAUAAUUUGUGAUGAGAGGGUCAUUAAAUUUUUUUUUAAUCCUUAUUGAAUGUUCUAAGCAUUUCCCUUCAGGGCUUAACAGCAUAGUUCCUAACAAGGGUAGACUUAACCGUCUUCUAGAUUAGAUAGAGUUUUCAUGUCGUUGACUUGUCCUUUGUUUAACUAAUAGUAUUAUUCCAAAGUGGUAAUUUUUACUCAUUCCUUUGGAAAAUAGUGAGUGUUUCCAUGGAGGGUGGUAAAGAGAGCAUUUAUGCAAUUGUGUGAGUUAAUGUGGGCUUUUGCUGUUGUUAGCAUGAUCUUAUAACUAGCUUUAUGAGCUACACCUGAUAUUGCUACAAUUUAUAAGAGAACUUUGCUUCUUAUUUUAUACUUGUGCAUGUUUAAAAUGUUAAUCUUGUGUAAAGUGGAUGUUUAGUAGAAAGAUGCCAGCAUAGUUUACUUGAUAAUAUUUUGAAGUAAAUAAGACAUUUAGACUGAAGAAGAGGAAAAAUUACGAGAACACUUGGUUCCAAAUGUGAGAUAAUCCUCAUACGGCUUUAAUAGUGACUUUAAACUCUCUUUUGUACUGUUUUUUGGAGGGAGAGAAAUCUGUUGAAUUUGUGAAGCCUCCAGUUUUAAUAAAAUUUUUCCUCUACGAUAGAAAAAUAUCUGUAAAAUUUGAGACUAUAUAAAUGUGAAGAAAAAAAACUAACGGACUUGUAAGGGGUUUAUGGUCAAAAAUUGUUUCAAAAAUAAUUUAAGUUUUUAUG